Molecule: ribosomal RNA, 440 nt
Filed under: uncultured bacterium
Lineage: Bacteria
Description: bacterial SSU rRNA
Rfam family: Bacterial small subunit ribosomal RNA
Source: RNAcentral
CCUACGGGGGGCAGCAGUAGGGAAUAUUGCACAAUGGGGGAAACCCUGAUGCAGCAACGCCGCGUGAGCGAAGAAGGCCUUCGGGUCGUAAAGCUCUGUCCUAAGGGAAAAAACAUGACGGUACCUUAGGAGGAAGCCCCGGCUAACUACGUGCCAGCAGCCGCGGUAAUACGUAGGGGGCGAGCGUUAUCCGAUAUCACUGGGCGUAAAGGGUGCGUAUGCGGCGGAUUAAGACAGGGGUAAAAGGCUACGCCGCAACCGGAGUAAGCCCUUGCAACUGUUUGGGUUGGGUGCAGGAGAGGAGGUGGGAAUUCCUAGUGUAGCGGAUAAAUGCGUAGGUUUUAGGGGGAACUCCAGUGGCGAAGGCGAUUCUCUGGAAUGUAACUGACGCUGAGGCACGAAAACGUGGGGAGCAAACAGGAUUGGAUACCCUUGUAGUC